AAACGAGGUACUAAGACUAUAUCCACCUUUGACUCUUCUGUAUCGACGUACUCUAAAGGAAACAAGUAUUCGAGGAAUGUCCAUUCCAGCUGGGGUAGACCUCCUGUUACCAUUCUUGUUUCUUCACUAUGAUCCUGAGUAUUGGGGAGAUAACGCAGAAGAAUUCAAACCAGAGAGAUUCUCUGAAGGAGUUUCGAAAGCAUCAAAGGAUGAAAUUGCAUUUUACCCUUUUGGUUGGGGCCCUAGAUUUUGUCUAGGCCAAAACUUUGCCUUGACUGAAGCAAAGAUGGGUCUUACUAUGAUUCUACAAAAUUUCUGGUUUGAGCUUUCACCCUCUUACACGCAUGCUCCUUUUAAUGUCAUAACUCUUCAACCACAACAUGGAGCUCCUAUUAUACUACACCAAUUAUAAGGUUUACAUAGUAGUUUAGUAUCUUAUGAAGGGAAGCAACUCAGUUGAAUGAGUCACAGCAGGUUGUCCCAAUGUUUUGUUGUCAACCAGGAACAAGUUGGUGCAGUGGAGAGUGUUGUUUCUAUGCAUAAUGUUGCCAUCUGCUAUUGUAUUAAAGUGAUUAUUCCCUUUUCUUUCUUGUGGUUCUGAUGAUUGUCAUAGUAUGUUCUUAUGAAAGCACCACCUAAUGGAGAAAGAUGCUUAUUUCCUUCAAUCUUUCAUUGUUCUCUGCUGCUUUCUCAUCUUCCAUUAAAGGGAGAAAGUACAAGUAACUCCUGGAACUUGUCCUCUCCGUUUUGUACCCUGUAAAAUAGAUAGAUACAUCCCAAAGAUUUGACCUUUUAUAACUAUGACUUGUUAUCUUAAGACUCGAAUUAAAAUGGAGAUUUUUAAGGACCUCCAUUGUUCACAAGGUGGAACUCUGUUUUGGGUAUCCUCUGUUUUUUUUAUGUAGCCAUGAUUGCUGUAAUUUAACCUCUUCAAUAGUUUAAUUGUCUCUGAUUUUUUAACUUUUUAGAAUUGAUACAAAUUAAAUCUCUAAACUUUAUAUUUUUUUAAUAGAAUCCUUGAUUGAAUCGAUAAACUAUUAAAAGUUAAAUUAAAUUUUUAAAUGUAAUUAAUUCUUACUAUUUAUAUCAAAUUAACUUUUAAACUUUUUUUUUCAAUUAAGUUUUUAAUUAAACCUAUUAAAAGUUUCAUAAAAUAUUUAAAUUUAAUUAAUUCUUCUAAUAUUGGUUAUGUUGGAUUUUAGCCUCCAUUUUCUCUUCAUUUUCUUUCUUGUAAGUCUUUCUUUAGCUCAUCGAAUCAAAAUAUCAGUCUAGUUAUUUUGAUUUGUUGCAGCUUGAGGAUUUAUCUCUUUGUGUUUCGAAAAUAUUUUUUUAUUUUAAAUUUUGUAAAUUUUUUGUUUUGAAUAAAAAAGAAAAUGUAUUCUUUAUAAAACAAUUUUUUGGAGAUCCAAAAUUGAGUUAUGACAUCAUUAUGCAAUUUUUACUCUAAAAUAAAGAAAAUUAAAAAUUAAAAAAAUUGAAAGUUCAAGGCUUUGAUCCUAAUUAUAAAAUCUAAACUAGUUCGAAAGGUUUGCCCGAGACUUCGUUAACCCGGACUAGAUUGGGUUAAAAAUACAAAAGUGAGUUAGUUUGACCUGGUGAAAAACAUAGGUUGACUUGAUGUAAAACCCAAUCUACCUGGUCCUCAACUUAUUGAUGUUUUUUUUUUUUUUAAAGAAUCAAAACAAUAAUAUUUUAGUUAUUUUUUAAAAAUUGAAUCAAUCUAAUUUGACCUUUCCAGUCUAUGACUAGAACUUUGCUCCCAUUUAAAUUUUAGAACUAUGACUUAAUACCUGAUUGGGUAUUUGAGAGUAUGGUAACCGUAUUUUUUUAAAGUGUUUUUUUAUCUAGAAAUACAUUAAAUUUUUAUUUUAAAAAAAUUAUUUUUAACAUUAAAACGAUAUGAAAAAAAAAGACCAAUAAUUUGAAGAAAUAAAAAAAUUUAAUUUUUUAAAACAUAAAUUUUGUUUCUAAUGGAUCUUCACUGUCGAUUUGAACAGUGAAGGUGCGCAAGGAACUGAAUUUUGGACGUAGUCGGAAGGUUGGGUGAGCAGAUCGGAGAAUGGAUGGAUUCAAAUUACAAAGCUGAUGUGAGCAGCUCGGCCAAUAGCACGUGGUGGGCUCAUUUUACUGAACAAGAAGAGAUCCCUGUCCCUGCCAUGCGAUUUUUCCUUCCCGCCUGUGGUCCUCUUGCAAGUGGAUUGUAUUCCACUAGGGGUGUGCCGCGUGUUUGUGUGUGAGAGGGGAAGAUUCCGGUGACUAUUCCAAGUGGAAAAUAUGUCUAUGAUAAAUCAAUAUAUACCACUUAUGUUUUUUUCAUAAAUGAAAAAAAAAAUAUUUAAAAGAUAUUUGAAAUCAUAUUUGUCGCAGGGCAUGCUAACACGGCGUCGUGUGUUGGAAAGUAUUUUGGAUUUAAUCAUAAAAUUAUGGUUAAUGUUUAGGAGUCGUCACCGAGUAUUACGGUCACUAGAAACCUAUAGUCUGCGAGAGUCUGGGUAAAGUACUGGUUGUGCAAGGGGAAGACGCAUCACCCUCAGUACAACCUAAGGUAAGCUGCAUUAUUGUUUGAUUGUUUUUUUUUCUAAGUCAGGUUGGUCAUUUCUAAGGUUCAUGGCAAAUCUCUUUUCAUGAGAGAGUCUCUACCUAUUCGGUUACAUCCUAACCGUUCUAAAGUCUAUAUUUUUACACUUUGUAUCUUUAAUACCUGAGGGUGUACUUUAUCGUGUAAUUUUACACCUCACAAAUAUUAAAGUCUACAUCUGGAUCCUAAAAAAAAAGAUUAAAAAAAAAAAAAUUUUGACAUGUUGGUCAAAUCCUAAUGGAUAAUCAUAAACUGGUUAUAAUUUCUUUUUCUUUUUUAUGAAAAAUAUGCUUGGAAAAAUUUUAGGAUUUGGCCGUAUGCAACAAAAUAUUUUUUUCUUUUGAAUUUUUUUUUUUUGGAGAAAACCAGGUAUUUUAAUACCGGAUUUGUAUCUUACAAUGUAAGUAUACAAUCCAAUAUUUAAAAAAAUUGAUAAAAAAAUAUUUGAGAAAAUUUCAAAUUUUUUGAAAGGAUUUUUGUAAUUUUUUAAUUUAAUUAAUUUUUAUUUUUUAAUUAUAUAUUAAGUAAUUAAAUAUAUCAAAGCAUAUGGGCUGGGCCCAACACAGGCCCAGAAACAAGUGUAUUGAUUAUAGGAACAAAAUGAUUGGGUCGGCCUCGACCCAACAUAUUUUCUUCCUGCAUUUUAGGGACGGGCUGGACUCGGCCCAGCCAACUAGGCUAGGCUAAAGCAGGUCCAACCCAUAGCAGCUUAGUCACUAGGCAGCCUAGUGACUAAGUUGUAGGAACAGUGCAACGUGAAUUAUAAUUCACGUUGCAUUGUUCACGUGCAGCGAUGGAGGUGAAGAGAAGAAGAAGAAGAAGAAGAGAGGAGGGAGACUCACCUGGCGCUGAAGGAGCUGACGGCCUGACUGGUGGUGGUGAGGCUGGCGGCCGGCUGUGGCCGCAGCUGGAAGAAGAAGAAGAAGACGCCUACAAUGGAGAAGGGAAGCUCACAGUUGCAACUGUUGGAGCGGUUGAGGAGAGAUCUAAUAUCCUGGCGAUCUUUGGGAAAGGCAGAAGCUCUGGUCGUGGUGGUUGCUACGGCUGCUGGGGCCACGAUGGCAGAGAAGAAGCGUUUUAUAGAGGAGAGAGAGAGAAGUGGUGCAACAACUUCACAUGAUGUUUUGACAGCUGCUUGAGGUGAAGAUGACGGUGAGAAGACGAGUGAUGAUGGUGGUGGUGGCUGAAGGCCACGGUGGAGAGAGAAAGAAGAGAAAGGGCUGGUUGCAGGAAAAACGGGGCAGGGAAGGAUGGUUUUCGGCCAACUUUGGGUUCAAUUUUCUUCUCCCUCAGGCCAUCAAAUCCGUCUCUAUUUAUAGGCGGUGGAAGAGGGCAAUCUUGUCUAAAUUGGGGAAAAUUUCAACCCUUGAUUCGGUUGGGAAGGAUCCCAACCGUUGGCUCAAAGUGAGCAUCAUGAGUUGUUCAAUUCGCAGAUAAAGGCUUCCCGAGUUGGCCUGUUUAGGCCGACGCCGGCACCGUCUCGUUGACAUUUAGACUGUAAUGCUCAGUUGGGGUUGUAAAGAAACUGUGGGGGAUCAUUUGCGUGCACGUUUUGUUAGAUUUGAUGGAGAAAAGAAGCAUUAAAUGCGCCUGAAAAGUAGCCGCUUGGGUAGCAUUCACAGGUGAAAUCGGGGAAGAUAAUGAACAGUACCAGACGACGUGUUGCCUGGUUUUUUUUUUUUUACACAAAACGGCGCCGUUUUGGAUUGAAUUUGGGAGUUUAGCUUAUUUUAAAUUUAGUCCUUCAGCUUUCAAUUGACUUCAAUUGAACCCUAAUAACCUUUUACAACACGGUACUUGGUCUCGGAUUUUGUUAAUUUAACCCCUAAUUUACCAUUAAACUUUCAAUUUCACCCCCGAUUUUUAUCAAUUUCACCCUUAAAGGUUAGUGCUUGUUACGGAUUGGUCCAUGAUCUCGGAUUUUUUCAAUUUAACCCCUAAUUGACCCCAAAACUUCAAUCUUCUUGCAAUUUGGCCCCCAAUUUCAAUCAAUUAACUUGGUAAAUAUUAAAUUUGGUCUUUUAAAAUUCCAAUCUUCUCAAUUAAGCUCCCAAACUUAAUGUUUCACCAAUUAAGCCUAAAAUAAAAUUAAUUUGACCCCUUUAAAGUAUAAUUAAGUCCUUGCACUUACUUAAAUCCUUCAAUUGGACCCAAAUUAAUUCUUAAACAUAAUUAAAAUUUAAUUUGGCCUAUGAUUAAAUCAAAUUGGCCUAUUAAAAAUUUAAUUAUCUCAUUGGACUUAAUGUUUCACCAAUUAAGCCCAAAAUAAAAUUAAUUUGACCCAUUUAAAGUAUAAUUAAGUCCUUACACUUAAUUAAAUCCUUCAAUUGGAUCCAAAUUAAUUCCUAAACAUAAUUAAAAUUCAAUUUGGCCCAUGAUUAAAUCAAAUUGGCUUAUUAAAAAUUUAAUUAUGUCCUUGGAUUUAAUUUUUAUGCAAAUCCAUCCAAUAAUCAUUUAAUUUGACCUUCAAUUUGCAUUUUUUUUUUGGGCAUAAUGGGGUACAAUUAGGCCUUGAAUCUCCUCCAAAAAAUUACAGCUUGAUUCCCCGGCCUACUUUCUCUAUAUUGCCAGUCUUUAUUUUAUUUUUUAUUUUUAUUUUGAAAAACAAGUUAUUUUUGGAGAAUAAACCAGAAUUGGUUUAUGACAAUAUUAAUUAAUUUAUUAACUAGAAGAAAUAUAAAUACCUCAUGCAUUUUUUAUAUAAACAGUGAAACACCUCUUCUUCUAUUUCUUUUUUUAAAAUUUUUAAAUCUUUUCUUUUGAUAGACUCUUCUACAAUUAAAUUUGUUAAAAUUAUAUUCUUUGUUCUUUCCCCCCUUCAAUUUAGCCCUUUUUUUCAUUUUUUUUAUUUUUUCUCAAUUUCAUCAUUAGAUUUUUAUUUUAUUUUUUACAAUUAUCUAGCAUGGUUUUGGACUAAUCAAGUUAAUUAGAUCAUAUCGAUACAACUUUUACAUGAUUUAAUUUUAAACACGAGCCUAACAAGGAGUCGAGUGGAGAGCUUUUUCUUUUAAUUUCAUUGGUUUUUUUUCUAAAAACUUUUCUCAAACUUUUUUUAUUUAUCAGGUGAGUUGUUUUUGGAUCGAAGAAGCAGAUUAGGUCAUGCUAAAAAACUAUCAUAUUAUUUAAUUUUAAAUCCGGGUUAGACAUAAAAUUGGAUCGAAAUGCUUAUUUCCUUCAAUCUGUUAUUGUUCUCUGCUGCUUUCUCAUCUUCCAUUCAAGGGAGAGUGAAAAUAACUUCUGGAACUUGUCCUUUCCUUUUUGUACCCAGUAAAAUAGAUAGAUACAUCCCAAAGAUUUGGCUUUUUAUUACUAUGACUUAUUAUCUAAAGACUAAAAAAAAAAGGAGUUUUUUAUGGACCUUCACUGUUUAUAAGGUGCGUGAAGAACUCUGUUCUUGGUGUCCUCUGUUUGUUUUUUUAGCCAUGAUUGCAAUAAUUUAACCUCUUCAAGUUUUAAUUCUCUCUUAUUUUUUAACCUUUUAGAAUUGAUAAAAAUUAUAACACAAAUAAUUAUAUUUAAAAACUUAAAAUUAAAAAAACCUUGGAUCCUAACACAAAACUUAUUAGGCUUGGUCCUAUGUUAGAAUCCAAGAGAUUGGAUCCUAACAAAAGACCAAUAGUAUUGGGUUAGGCAAUGUUGUAGACCCAAGAAAUUUGGGUUUGCGUCCUAGCUAUACCUAAACUCCCUUGGACAUCGCCUUCUUUUUCUGCCUCAAGUUUCUUGAAUCUGGAAGAGAAUAUCUGACCCAAAAGAAACGAAAAAAAAUGAAAUCAAAUUACUGAUGGGUCCUUCUAGGGGUAAGACACCAAGACCCAUCAACUGGUCCUGCUAGAGAUAGAACACACGUUGAUGGGUCAGGCUCACAAGAAGAGUCAAGAGUCAUGGGUUUAGUGGUGGCUGGACCAAAAGCUAUUUUAGAUCAUAAUUAUAGCUUCAACAAAAAUCAAUAAGAGAAAAGAAAAAAAAAAUCAAGAGAGUAAAAACUAAAAUUAAAAAUAUCUUAAAAUAUUUUUUUAAAAAUAUAUUGAGAUAUUUUUUUAAUUUUUUAAAAUCUAUUUUAUAUAUAAUCACAUCAAAAUAAUAAUAAAAAAAUAUCUUAAUAUGAAUUAAGGAAAAUAUUAAUUUGAAGUGAAGAAAAAAAUAAAUAAUAAUAAUAAUUGAUUUUACCCUUAAAAUCAAAUCUAUGCUUUUUCCAUAGCAAUAAUAUUUAUUUUAAUUUCAAUAAUAUUAAUGAAUUUAAUAAUAUUUAUAAUAUUAAUAAUAAUAUUUAACUUAUCUGUCUAAUUUUUGUAUUUUUCAAUCUUUUAAAAACAAUUUAUGCUUUCUUCGAUCAUAGUAAUAAUUUUUUUUUUUAAUUUGGUAAUGGCAAUAACAAUAAUAAAAAAAGUGAUAAUAAUUCUUAAUUUUACCCUUCCAAUCAAAUAUUUUAUUAUUUUUCAAUAUUAAAAUUUUUUAUAUAAAUUUAUUUAUUAUUAUAUGAAUAAUAUUAAUUGUAAUACAAAUUAUAUUAUUUAUAAUAAAAAUAAUAGUAGGUUUAAUAUUAAUGAUAGUAAUUAUAAAAAAAUCAUAAUAUUUAUAUCAUAAAUAUUAAUAUUUUUCAUAGUAAUAAUUUUAAUUAUAAUAAAAAUAAUAAUAUUUAGAAUUUAAAUAAUAAUAAUAAUAUUUAUCAUAUUAAUAAUAGUAUUGAACUUGUCUGACCAAAGUUUUAAUCGUAAUAAGUGUUUGAAAAAACUUUAUUAACAAUAAUAAUAAUAAUUGAUAUUAUUUUUCAUUUUUCUUCUUUUCCCGCGCUAUACCGCGGACUCACCUUUUAUUUUAAUAAAAUAAUAUUAUAAAAAUCUAAGACCCAAAAGUAUUGGGUUUGGUUACAACGUCGAACCCAAGAGCAUUGAGUCUAGCUGCAACACCAAACCCUAUAAUAAUAUUUAUAAUAUUAGUAAUAAUAUUUAACUUGUCUUUCAAAAAAAAAUUUUAAUCUUUAAAAAAAUAGUAAUAAUAGUUUUUUAAAAUUUAAUAAUAAUAAUAAUUAAUAUAUUAUUAUUAUUAUUAACUUUACACUUCACAUCAAAUCUAUGGUUGUUUUUCAAUAUUGAUAAUAUUUGUUUUCAAAUUUAUUAAUUAUUUUAUUAAUAAUAUUAAUUAUGAUAAAAAAUAAUAAUAUCUAUAACACAAAUAAUACUAUUUUUAAUAUUAAUACUUUAAAUUAUAAUAAAAAUACUAAUAUUUAUGACAAUUUAGAUUAAUACUUUAAUUAUAAUAAAAAUAAUUAUAAUUAUAAUACAAAUGAUUAUAUUUAAAAACUUAUGACCCAAGAACCUUGAGUCAUAACGCAGGACUCAUUAAUCCUAGGUCCCGACACCACACCUAAGAGCUUUUGGUGCUGACACAACCCAAAAAAUUAGGUCCUGAUGCAGGACUUAAGAGAUUCGGUUCUGAUGAAGGAUCAAUAAUCUUUGGUCAAACGGGUCUGCAAAGACCUAAAGAAUUUAAGUAUGCGCCUAGCAACACCCAAGAUCCUUGGGUGAGGCACCCUUUCCUACCCCAAGUUUCUUAGGUUUGGAAAAGAAUGUUGGACUCAAGAGGAAAGAAAAAGAAAUGAAAAAGCAAUUAUUGGUGGAUCCUGCUAAGGGCAUGACCCAACAAUGAUGGAUCAUAUUAAGGACAUGACCCACAACUAAUGGGUUCAAUGGCGGCUGGACCCAAAGCUAUUUUGAAGUGAAGACCAAGCUUAAUAUAUUUCUCUUGAGUGUGGUUGCACAAUUAGACCCAAUCUCAAUAUAUUUAAAAAUAAAAUUAAAAAAAAUACAAAACAUAAAAAAUAUUAAUUUGAAGUAAAGAAAACAAUAAAAGAAUUUCAAAAAACUUUCAAUGUAUUUUUGGAAUGCAAAACCAAACAUGCUUUAAUAAGGAAAUUCAACCCAACCUGAAAUGAAAAAAAUAAUUAUCGUCACCUAACUUUUGUAUAAUAUAAAACAAAAUCACAUUAAUUUAUUUUCUCUUUACACUAUGAAAAAAAAAUCAAUAAGAGAAAAGAAAAAAAAAUUCAAGAGAGAAAAAAAUAAAAUUAGAAAUAUCUUAAAAUAUUUUUUAAAAAUUAUAUUGAGAUAAUAUUUUUUAUUGUUUUAAAUCCAUUUUUUAUAUAAUCACAUAAAAAAUAAUACAAAAUAUCUUAAUAUGAAUUAAAGGAAAAAAAUAUUAAUUUAAAGUUAAAAAAAUAAUCUUGUUAUAAAAUUUAUUAACAAUAACAAUAACAAUAACAAUAAUUGUUAUUACUUAUAUUUGUUUUUGUUUUUUUUUCAAAUCUGUUAUUUUUCUAUAUAGGUCUGUAGACCCAGCAACAUAGGUCUGCUACCCCUGGGGGAGUCUGCAGACUCCAGACUUGGCAUAACAAAACCCAGGCGUGCCUAGCCGCGUGGGUAUGCAACCUCUAACGGGGUCUGUAGAUCCCAAACAUGGCAAAAAAUACCCAGGGGCGGGUCUGUAUCCUGCUCCCAGUUAUGCACACCCAAGUGAGGGGUUCUGCAAACCUAGGCGAGACCCUAGAGGCGAGGGUCUGCAAUCGCGAGUAGGCUUGCAGACCCACUUGCCUGUGUCUACAGACAUGCACUUUGGUUCUACCACUCACGCUGGUCUGCACCCACCACCUGGGUAUGCAGCCCUUGCGCGCGGUUUAACAGACUUGCCCGCCUAGGUUUGCAACCUCUUGUCCGUGCCAGUCCCAACACCAUGUUUCUGCAACUUGGGGCCUGCGGUCCCACUUGACGCGCAGCCACCUAGGGCUUGGCAUCCCCAGCAUCAUGUCUGCAGCCUAGGGUUUGGAGUCCCACUUGGCAAGCGGGUACCCAAGGCUUUGCCAGCCCAGCAUCAAGUGUCUGUAGCCACACCAAAAUUAGAGCUAACCUAGGGGAGUGGAUCUGCAGCCUCAUUGUGCUCCCACCCACCAAGCAUUAUAAUUUAUAGUGAAAUCACUUAUAAUUCACAAUAACUCUUCUUAACUAGUGCAAUCCACAAAUAAAACGUUUUUAAUUCAUAAUUUCUUUCGUUGUAAUAAAAUACUGUUAAUAUUUUUAGUUAUAGUUAAUUGAUAACUUCAGCAGCAAGAUCAUUAAGUAAUACUCUAAAAGGCGUGGGAAAACUAUUGUAGCUUUCCGACGCCUUUUACUAAUAUAUUUACUUAUUAAUAUAUUAUAUAACUGUUAUUUUAUUUUAUUUUGUUUUUUGUUUUUUUAAUGAAUUUUUUUUAUUUGAUUUAGUUUGUUAAUGUUAAUUUUUUUUUAUUUAGUUAUCAGAUUUUCAUGAUACGGAUCCCGGAUUUGAUAGGUUAACCUAAUUUGACGAGUUAACCCGGAUUUUUUUUAAUUAUUUUUUUCAUUUAAUUUAGUUUGUUAAAGUUAAUUUUCUUUUUAUUUAAUUAUCAGACUUUCAUAACACGUAUCCUAGGCUUAACGGGUUAACUUGGUUUGAUGGGUUAACUCAGUUAAUUCUGGGUAAACCCAUCAUUUGUUUUUCUAUUUAGUUAUCAAACUUUCAUGACGUGAAUCCCAGGUUUUACGGGAUAACCUAAUUUAAAGGGUUAACCCAAUUAAUUCAUUUUUUUUUCUUUUUCUUCAUGUUGAUUUUUUUUCUUUGUUUUUUUUAAUUAAUCUAUUUAAUUAUUACACUUUUAUAACAAGACCUUAUAGCCAUACCCACAUCCAAUAUUUUUGGGUCCGUUGUUGCAGUCAUGCUCACUCAAACUUGGAUUAUACAAGUUUAAUGUUAUUAUUAAUAUUAUCAAUAUUACUCUUACGUCAGGCUUUGCAGCUAAACCCAAGAUUUUUGGAUAUAAUUUUGCAGAAAAACCUAAAAAUUUUAAAUUUUUAUUUUUUUUAUAUUUUUUAUAUAAAAAAAUAAACCGCGACAUCGCAAGGAUGAUAUACCUAGUAAUCUAUUAUUAGCGUAUAUCACGUGAGAAUAAUCUUCGUGCCCUUGGGCUGCAAGGCAAAUUAGGAUUUAUAUUCUCGUUCUGUCGUUUUCACUUUUUAUUUUUUUUGUUCUUGAAAUCAAUACACGUUAUUUUGGUGUUUCUGAAACAAUGAGACAAGAGAUGGGUUAUAAGUUUGUCAAGGAAAAACAAAAGGUCGACGUCAUUGGAAUCAAUAAAAUAAAUAAAGACAGGAAAGCAAUAAGGUUCAAGUUCAAACAGGAGCUAACAAAAGCCCUAUAAAUUCUUCACCAAUCGGGUCUCAUUUCCAUCAAAUUUCAUCGAUCCCAAGUUUGCUGAAGCAGCAGUUUCCAACCAAAAAACAAAAAUGGAAGAUUUUAUUUUCAGAGGGUUUCUGUCCUCUUCUUUACUUCUAUUUCUCUAUGUUGUGUUUAGAGUUGCUCACACGUUUUGGCUGAAACCGAAAAGCCAAGAGAAGCGUUUGAGGAAGCAAGGGAUCAGAGGCACUUCUUACAAGCUUUUGAAUGGUGAUAAGAAAGAGUUUGCAAGGUCUUCUAAAGAAGCUAGGUCCAGGCCCAUUGCUCUAAAUCAAGCAAUUGCACCACGUGUCCUUCCAUUCUUUUAUAAAAUGGUGCAAAUUUACGGUGAGCAGCAGCUUCACAAGCUAUCUCAUUUUUUCAGAUUUUUUUUAUUAUUUCUAGGAAUUUCUGUUCAUACAUGUAUUUGGUAAUCGGUAUUAUCCUGAUUUGUAAUGCGAACGAGAACAGGAAAGGUCUCCCUGUGUUGGAUGGGGACAAGACCUAGCCUGCUAUUAGCUGAUCCAGAGCUGGUGAGGUUGGUGUUAACAGACACGAGUGGUCACAUUAUAAAGCCACCGCAAAAUGCCCUUGUGGGUCUGUUACAGCGGGGAGUCUCAACCUUGGAAGGAGACGAAUGGGCCAAGCGCAGAAGGUUGAUGACACCUGCCUUCCACGCUGAGAGAUUAAGGGUAACUUCACCUACCUGAAUCUUGCAAGUUUAAACAUUCUUAAGAAAUUUUUACAGCUUGCAUUUGAAAAUUUAGAAUCUAUUUGGACUUCUUUACAUUUUAUCAAUUGACCAAUGUGCUGCAUAAGCAAAAAUUGAUCCAGAAAACAUUCAUGAAUGUCAGCAAAUGGCAAGAAGGAGUGAUAGAGAGUUAUAUAAAUUAUAUUUUGAAACCUGUGAUUGAGCUAUUGAAUUGAGAUAGUUCUAUAAUAUAACAUGGUAUUCUAUUGGAUUCAGUUGGUUUUUUGACAAGUUGAGGUGAUGGUACAGCUAUACACACCAAAACGUGUACUGUAGUCAAACUUGAGAUGGAGGCUUGAAAGAAUUCUUGAAUUAUCAUAAAGAAACUUUGCGGGAACUAGUAUAUCCAUUUAACUUGUAUACGUGUUUUAUAAGGAUUUUCGGAUUCCAGAUCUUUAGCCUUCAAUCACUAGCUUUUUAACUUUUGAAUUGAAUCAACGUUUGAUAUGGUAUUAGAGUCUAUAUGCUGAUUAGUGCUGGUUUGUGAACAGGGGAUGAUCCCAGCAUUUUCAGCCUGCUGUUGUGAUCUGGUUCAGCGAUGGAAGAAAUUAGCAGGUCCUCAGGGAUCAUGUGAAUUGGAUGUUGCAAGCGAAUUUAAUAUUCUUGCAAGUGAUGUUAUAGCUCGAGCAGCCUUUGGAAGCAGCUAUGAAGAGGGAAAGAAAAUAUUUGAUCUUCAAAAGGAUCAAGUUAUUUUGGCCCUUGAAGCUUUUUAUUCCAUUUACUUCCCUGGUUUGAGGUACAUAUUAAUGCCAUUUAUCUCUUGCAAAUUCAAGCUUCUCUCGGUGCUUGUUAAAAUUUUUAACCAAUGUCUGAUAAUACAUUAAAUCCCAGUUAACAACAUUUCAUUUCUUUGCGCUUCUCCAACAGAUUCAUACCCUCUAAAAAGAACAAGAAGAGAUACAGUAUAGACAAAGAGAUAAAAGCAGCAUUGAGAAAUAUUAUCCAUAAGAAGGAGCAGGCCAUGCAAAAUGGAGACUCAGGCGAUGCUGACUUGCUAGGCUUGCUUUUACAGGGCAGGGAUGAUGCUGAUAAUGACAUGAAAAUUGAAGAUGUAAUCGAGGAAUGCAAGUUGUUCUUCUUUGCAGGCCAAGAGACCACAGCAAACUUACUCACUUGGACAUUGAUAGUUCUAUCUAUGCAUCCAGUCUGGCAAGAGAAAGCAAGAGAAGAAGUUUUGCAGAUUUGUGGCAACAGAGCACCUGAUAUCGAUAGUAUAAAACAACUCAGAAUUGUAAGUACUUCUUUUGUUCACGCAUUAAUUUAUCAUGUUUUGUAAGCUACAGUCAACUCCUUGGAAACGAUUAUAAAUCCCUGGUUUAUGAAACUAAAUAAAUUUGCAGGUCUCAAUGAUCUUAAACGAGGUACUAAGACUAUAUCCACCUGUGAAUCUUCUGUAUCGACAUACUCUAAAGGAAACAAGCAUUCGAGGAAUGUCCAUUCCAGCUGGGUAGACCUCCUGUUACCAUUCCUGUUUCUUCACUAUGAUCCUGAGUAUUGGGGAGACAACGCAGAAGAAUUCAAACCAGAGAGAUUCUCUGAAGGAGUUUCGAAAGCAUCAAAGGAUGAAAUUGCAUUUUACCCUUUUGGUUGGGGCCCUAGAUUUUGUCUAGGCCAAAACUUUGCCUUGACUGAAGCAAAGAUGGCUCUUACUAUGAUUCUACAAAAUUUCUGGUUUGAGCUUUCACCCUCUUACACGCAUGCUCCUUGUAAUGUCAUAACUCUUCAACCACAACAUGGAGCUCCUAUUAUACUACACCAAUUAUAAGGUUUACAUAGUACUUUGGUGUCUUAGGAAGGGAAGCAACUCAGUUGAAUGAGUCACAGCAGGUUGUCCCAAUGUUUUGUUGUCAACCAGGAACAAGUUGGUGCAGUGGAGAGUGUUGUUUCUAUGCAUAAUGUUGCCAUCUGCUAUUGUAUUAAAGUGAUUAUUCCCUUUGCUUUCUUUUGGUUCUGAUGAUUGUUCAUAGUAUGUGCUUAUGAAAGCACCACCUAAUGGAGAAAGAUGCUUAUUUCCUUUAAUCUUUUAUUGUUCUCUGCUGCACUUUCUCAUCUUCCAUUGAAGGGAGAGAUUACAAGUAACUCCUGGAACUUGUCCUUUCUUUUUUGUACCCUGUAAAAUAGAUAGAUGCAUCUCAAAGAUUUGGCUUUUUAUAACUGACUUAUUAUCUGAAGACUCAAGAAAAAAAAAAAAAAAUUGGAGUUUUUUAUGGACCUUCACUGUUUAUCAGGUGCGCGAAGAACUCUGUUGUGGGUGUUCUAUGUUUUUUUUUUUUUUUUAGCCAUGAUGAUUGCAAUAAUUUAACCUCUUCAAGUUUUAAUUCUCUAAUUCUUUAACUUUUUAGAAUUGAUAUAAAUUAUAACAUAAAUAAUUAUAUUUAAAAAUUAAAAAUUAAAAAAUCUCGAGGUUUUAAGACUCACUAGUUUUAUGUCCUAUCAGAAUCCAAAAGAUUGGAACAAAACAAAAAACCAAUAGUAUUAGAUUAGGCAAGGCUAUAAACCCAAAGAAUUUGGGUUUGCAUCCUAGCCACAACUAAACUUUCUUGGACGUGUCUUUCUUUUCUUGUCUCAAGUUUCUUGAAUAAUGUUUGACACAAAAAAAAAUCAAAUUAUUGAUGGGUUUUUCUAGGGGCAAGACCUAUUAACUGGUCCUAUUAGAGAUAGAACCCACGUUACUGGGUCAUACUCGUAGUAAGAGCCAAGACUGAUGGGCUUAGUGGUGACUGAAUCCAAAGCUAUUUUGGAUUAUAUUUAUAGUUUCAACAAAAAUCAAUAAGAUAAAAGAAAAAAAAAUCAAGAGAGUAAAAAAAAAAUUAGAAUAUCUUAAAAUAUUUUAAAAAAAAUAGAUUGAGAUAAUUUUUUGUAAUUUUUUAAAUUCUAUUUUAUAUAUAAUCACAUCAAAAUAAUAAAUAAAAUAUCUUAAAAUAUUUUUUAAAAAUAGAUUGAGAUAAUUUUUUUUUAAUUUUUUAAAAUCUAUUUUAUAUAUAAUCACAUCAAAAUAAUAAAUAAAAUAUCUUAAUAUGAAUUAAGAAAAAUAUUAAUUUGAAGUGAAGAAAUAAUAAUAAUAAUAAUAAUAAUUUAUUUUACCCUUAAAAUCAAAUCUAUAUUUUUUUCUACAUCAAUAAUAUUUAUUUGAAUUUCAAUAAUAUUAAUGAAUUUAAUAAUAUUUAUAAUAGUAAUAAUAAUAUUUAACUUCUCUACCCAAUUUUUUAUAUUUUUCAAUCUUUGAAAAACAAUUUAUGCUUUCUUCGAUGAUAGUAAUAAUUUUUUUAAAAAAUCUGGUAAUGACAAUAACAAUAAUAAAAAAAAGUGAUAAUAAUUUUUAAUUUUACCCUUCAAAUCAAAUCUAUUAUUAUUUUUCAAUAUUAAAAAUAUUUUAUACAAAUUUAUUAAUUAUUAUAUGAAUACUAUUAAUUGUAAUACAAAUUAUAAUAUUUAUAAUAAAAAUAAUAGUAGGUUUAAUAUUAAUGAUAUUAAUUAUAAAAAAAUCAUAAUAUUUAUAUCACAAAUAAUAAUAUUUUUCAUACUAAUAAUAGUAAUAAUAUUUAUCAUAUUAAUAAUAGUAUUGAACUUGUUUGACCAAAGUUUUAAUAGUAAUAAGUGUUUUAAAAAAAAUUUAUUAACAAUAAUGAUAACAAUGAUAAUAAUAAUAAUUGAAAUAUUUUUUUUCAUUUUUUUUCUUUGCCCGCGCUACACUGCGGGCUUACCUUUUAUUUUAAUAAAAUAAUAUUAUAAAAAUCAAAGACCCAAAAGCGUUGGGUUUGGCUGCAACAGCAGACCCAAGAACAAUGAGUCUAGCUGCAAUGCCAUACCCAAUAAUAAUAUUUAACUUGCCUUCCAAAAUUUUUAUUUUUUAAAAUUUUAAAAAAAUUAUGGUUUUUCUUCGAUAGUAAUAAUAUAUUUUUAAAAAUAAUAAUAAUAAUAACAAUAUUUAAAACAAAAAUAAUUAUAUUUUUUAGAUUAAUACUUUAAUUAUAAUAAAAAAAUUAUAAUUAUAAUACAAAUAAUUAUAUUUAAAAACUUGGGACCCAAGAACCUUGAGUCCUGAUGCAGGACCCGUUAGCCUUGGGUCUCUGCGCCAGACCCAAGAGCUUUUGGUCCUGACAUAGCCUAAAAAAUUAGGCUCUGAUGUAGGACUUAAGAGAUUCGGGUCUGACGAAGGAUCAAUAAUCUUGGGUCAAGCAUGUUUGCAAAAUCUAAGGGAUUUAAUUUUGCGCCUAGCAACACCUUAGAUCCUUAGGUGAUGCACCCUUUCUUACCCGAGUUUCUUAGGUUUGGAAAAAAAAACUAGACUCAAGAGGAAAGAAAAAAAAAUUAUUGGUAGGUCCUGCUAAGGGCACGACCCAACACUAAUGGAUCAUGUUAAAGACAGGACCCAUGGCUAAUGGGUCCAGUAGCUAUUUUGAAGUAAAGACCAAACUUAAUUUAUUUUUCUUGGGUGUGGUUGCACAACUACACCCAAUCUCAAUAUAUUUAAAAAAAUUAAAAAAAAUACAAAAUAUAAAAAUAUUAAUUUGAAAUAAAGAAAAUAAUAAAAGAAUUUCAAAAAACUUUCAAUGUAUUUUUGAAACGCAAAACCAAACAUCCUUUAAUAAGGAAACUCGACCCAACCUGAAAUAAAAAACAAUUAUCAUAACCUAACUUUUUUAUUCCUGUUGAUUUUUUUUCUUUGCUUUUUUUGUUAAUUAAUCUAAUUAAUUAUUGCACUUUUAUGACACGACCUUAUAGCCAGACCCAUAUCUAAUAUUCUUGGGUCCGGUGUUACGGCUAUACUCACUUAAACUUGGGUCAUACAAGUUUUAAUGUUAUUAUUAAUAUUAUAAAUAUUACUUUUACGUCAGAUGUUACAGCCAAACCCAAUAUUUUUUUGUAUAAUUUUGCAAAAAUACUUAAAAUUUUUAUAUUUUUUUAUAUUUUUUAUACAAAAACAUAACCUACGGCAUCAAGCAGGUCAUGUAAGUAAUAAUUUAUUAUUAGCUGAUAUCACGUGAGAAUAAUCUUCGUGCCCUUGGGAUGCAAGGCAAAUUAGGAUUUAUAUUCUCGUUCUGUCGUUUUCACUUUUUUUUUUUUUUUUGUUCUUGAAAUCAACACACGUUAUUUUGGUGUUUGUGAAACAAUGGGACAAGAGAUGGGUUACAAGUUUGUCAAGGAAAAAUAAAAGGUAGACGUCAUUGGAAUCAAUAAAAUAAGAAAUAGUUUGGCAAUGGAGUUGAAAUCAUGUUUUUAUAAAAUUAAUUUUUUUUAUUAAAAUUUAAUAUGAUCGGUAUAUUUUGGAUCGUUUUGAUGUGUUAAUAUUAAAAAUAAUUUUUUUAAAAAAAAUUAUUAAUAUAUAUUUCAAUAUAAAAAAUUAUUUAAAAAAUAAUCACUAUUAUAUUACCAAAUAUACUAUAAAUUAAAAAAGGAAAGCAAUAAGAUCCAAGUUCAAACACGAGCUAACAAAAGCCCUAUAAAUUCUUCACCAAUCGGGUCUCAUUUCCAUCAAAUUUCAUCGAUCCCAAUGAGACAAGAGAUGGAUUUAUAUUCUCGUUCUGUCGUUUUCACUUUUUAUUUUUAUUUUUCUUGAAAUCAACAAUUUUGCUGUUUGUGAAACAAUGAGAGAUGGGUUAUAAGUUUGUCAAGGAAAAACAAAAGGUCGACGUCAUUGAAAUUAAUAAAAUAAUUAAUGUUUGGAAAGUUGAAAUUAUAUUUUUAUAAAAUUUUAAAUUUUUUUUUAUUAAAAUUUAAUGUGAUUUAUAUGUUUUAGAUCGUUUUAAUAUACUGAUAUCAAAAAUAAUUUUUAAAAAAUAAAAAUAAUUAUUGAUAUAUAUUUUAAUAUAAAAAAUUAUUUAAAAAACAACAACAACCAUACUACUAAAUAUACUCUAAAUAAAAAAAGAAAAGCAAUAAGUCCAAGUUCAAACAGGAGCUAACAAAAGCCCUAUAAAUUCUUCACCAAUCGGGUCUCAUUUCCAUCAAAUUUCAUCGAUCCCAAGUUUGCGGAAGCAGCAGUUUCCAACCAAAAAACAAAAAUGGAAGAUUUUAUUUUCAGAGGGUUUCUGUCCUCUUCUUUACUUCUAUCUCUCUAUGUUGUGUUUAGAGUUGCUCAAACUUUUUGGCUGAAGCCGAAAAGCCAAGAGAAGCGUUUGAAGAAGCAAGGGAUCAGAGGCACUUCUUACAAGCUUUUGAAUGGUGAUAAGAAAGAGUUUGCAAGGUCUUCUAAAGAAGCUAGGUCCAGGCCCAUUGCUCUAAAUCAAGAAAUUGCACCACGUGUCCUUCCAUUCUUUUAUAAAAUGGUGCAAAUUUACGGUGAGCAGCAGCUUCACAAGCUAUCUCGUUUUUUCAGAUUUUUUAAUUAUUUCUAGGAAUUCUGUUCAUUCAUAUAUUUGGUAAUCGGUAUUAUCCUGAUUUGUAAUGCGAACGAGAACAGGAAAGGUCUCCCUGUGUUGGAUGGGGACAAGACCUAGCCUGCUAUUAGCUGAUCCAGAGCUGGUGAGGUUGGUGUUAACAGACACGAGUGGUCACAUUAUAAAGCCACCGCGAAAUGCCCUUGUGGGUCUAUUACAGCUGGGAGUCUCAACCUUGGAAGGAGACAAAUGGGCCAAGCGCAGAAGGUUGAUGACACCUGCCUUCCACGCUGAGAGAUUAAGGGUAACUUCACCUACCUGAAUCUUGCAAGUUUAAACAUUCUUAAGAAAUUUUUACAGCUUGCAUUUGAAAAUUUAGAAUCUAUUUGGACUUCUUUACAUUUUAUCAAUUGACCAAUGUGCUGCAUAAGCAAAAAUUGAUCCAGAAAACAUUCAUGAAUGUCAGCAAAUGGCAAGAAGGAGUGAUAGAGAGUUAUAUAAAUUAUAUUUUGAAACCUGUGAUUGAGCUAUUGAAUUGAGAUAGUUCUAUAAUAUAACAUGGUAUUCUAUUGGAUUCAGAUGGUUUUUUGACAAGUUGAGGUGAUGGUACAGCUAUACACACCAAAACGUGUACUGUAGUCAAACUUGAGAUGGAGGCUUGAAAGAAUUCUUGAAUUAUCAUAAAGAAACUUUGCGGGAACUAGUAUAGCCAUUUAACUUGUAUACAUGUUUUAUAAGGAUUUUCGGGUUCCAGAUCUUUAGCCUUCAAUCACUAGCUUUUUAACUUUUGAAUUGAAUCAACGGUUGAUAUGGUAUAAGAGUCUAUAUACUGAUUAGUCCUGGUAUGUGAACAGGGGAUGAUCCCAGCAUUUUCAGCCUGCUGUUGUGAUCUGGUUCAGCGAUGGAAGAAAUUAGCAGGUCCUCAGGGAUCAUGUGAAUUGGAUGUUGCAAGCGAAUUUAAUAUUCUUGCAAGUGAUGUUAUAGCUCGAGCAGCCUUUGGAAGCAGCUAUGAAGAGGGAAAGAAAAUAUUUGAUCUUCAAAAAGAUCAAGUUAUUUUGGUCCUUGAAGCUUUUUAUUCCAUUUACUUCCCUGGUUUGGGGUACAUAUUAAUGCCAUUUAUCUCUUGCAAAUUCAAGCUUCUCUUGGUGCUUGUUAAAAUUUUUAACCAAUGUCUGAUAAUACAUUAAAUCCCAGUUAAGAACAUUUCAUUUCUUUGCGCUUCUCCAACAGAUUCAUACCCUCUAAAAAGAACAAGAAGAGAUACAGUAUAGACAGAGAGAUAAAAGCAGCAUUGAGAAAUAUUAUCCAUAAGAAGGAGCGGGCCAUGCAAAAUGGAGACUCAGGCGAUGCUGACUUGCUAGGCUUGCUUUUACAGGGCAGGGAUGAUGCUGAUAAUGACAUGAAAAUUGAAGAUGUAAUCGAGGAAUGCAAGUUGUUCUUCUUUGCAGGCCAAGAGACCACAGCAAACUUACUCACUUGGACAUUGAUAGUUCUAUCUAUUCAUCCUGUCUGGCAAGAGAAAGCAAGAGAAGAAGUUUUGCAGAUUUGUGGCAAGAGAACACCUGAUAUCGAUAGUAUAAAACAACUCAGAAUUGUAAGUACUUCUUUUGUUCACGCAUUAAUUUACUAUGUUUAGUGAGCUACAGUCAACUCCUUGGAAACGAUUAUAAAUCCUUGGUUUAUGACACUAAAUAAAUUUGCAGGUCUCAAUGAUCUUAAACGAGGUACUAAGACUAUAUCCACCUGUGAAUCUUCUGUAUCGACAUACUCUAAAGGAAACAAGCAUUCGAGGAAUGUCCAUUCCAGCUGGGGUAGACCUCCUGUUACCAUUCCUGUUUAUUCACUAUGAUCCUGAGUAUUGGGGAGACAACGCAGAAGAAUUCAAACCAGAGAGAUUCUCUGAAGGAGUUUCAAAAGCAUCAAAGGAUGAAAUUGCAUUUUACCCUUUUGGCUGGGGCCCUAGAUUUUGUCUAGGCCAAAACUUUGCCUUGACUGAAGCAAAGAUGGCUCUUACUAUGAUUCUACAAAAUUUCUGGUUUGAGCUUUCACCCUCUUACACGCAUGCUCCUUUUAAUGUCAUAACUCUUCAACCACAACAUGGAGCUCCUAUUAUACUACACCAAUUAUAAGGUUUACAUAGUAGUUUAGUAUCUUAUGAAGGGAAGCAACUCAGUUGAAUGAGUCACAGCAGGUUGUCCCAAUGUUUUGUUGUCAACCAGGAACAAGUUG
This 20098-nucleotide long non-coding RNA is filed under the name Populus tremula. RNAcentral's name for it is "long non-coding RNA (PTRE_LNC000585)". Lineage: Eukaryota; Viridiplantae; Streptophyta; Magnoliopsida; Malpighiales; Salicaceae. The record is from RNAcentral.